This 214-nucleotide ribosomal RNA is filed under the name uncultured bacterium. RNAcentral's name for it is "partial 16S ribosomal RNA". It matches the Rfam family "Bacterial small subunit ribosomal RNA", at positions 118 to 332 of the family's 1533-position model. The record is from RNAcentral.
UGAGCAAUCUGCCCUUCACAUCGGAAUAACCAUUGGAAACGAUGGCUAAUACCGAAUAUGACUUCGGAUCGCAUGAUCUGAAGUGGAAAGCUCCGGCGGUGAAGGAUGAGCUCGCGGCCUAUCAGCUUGUUGGUGAGGUAAUAGCUCACCAAGGCGAUGACGGGUAGCUGGCCUGAGAGGGUGACCGGCCACACGUGGGACCGAGACACCGGCA